Molecule: ribosomal RNA, 577 nt
Filed under: uncultured bacterium
Lineage: Bacteria
Description: partial 16S ribosomal RNA
Rfam family: Bacterial small subunit ribosomal RNA
Source: RNAcentral
UGGGGAAUUUUGGACAAUGGGCGAAAGCCUGAUCCAGCAAUGCCGCGUGUGUGAAGAAGGCCUUCGGGUUGUAAAGCACUUUUGUCCGGAAAGAAAUCCUUGGCUCUAAUACAGUCGGGGGAUGACGGUACCGGAAGAAUAAGCACCGGCUAACUACGUGCCAGCAGCCGCGGUAAUACGUAGGGUGCAAGCGUUAAUCGGAAUUACUGGGCGUAAAGCGUGCGCAGGCGGUUUGCUAAGACCGAUGUGAAAUCCCCGGGCUCAACCUGGGAACUGCAUUGGUGACUGGCAGGCUAGAGUAUGGCAGAGGGGGUAGAAUUCCACGUGUAGCAGUGAAAUGCGUAGAGAUGUGGAGGAAUACCGAUGGCGAAGGCAGCCCCCUGGGCCAAUACUGACGCUCAUGCACGAAAGCGUGGGGAGCAAACAGGAUUAGAUACCCUGGUAGUCCACGCCCUAAACGAUGUCAACUAGUUGUUGGGGAUUCAUUUCCUUAGUAACGUAGCUAACGCGUGAAGUUGACCGCCUGGGGAGUACGGUCGCAAGAUUAAAACUCAAAGGAAUUGACGGGGUCAUAGCU